UAACAGUCUAUAGCCAUGGUUG
Molecule: microRNA, 22 nt
Filed under: Eptatretus burgeri (inshore hagfish)
Lineage: Eukaryota; Metazoa; Chordata; Myxini; Myxiniformes; Myxinidae
Description: Ebu-Mir-132-P1f_3p (mature (guide))
Source: RNAcentral